This 235-nucleotide non-coding RNA is filed under the name Actinomycetota bacterium. RNAcentral's name for it is "Actinobacteria bacterium T-box sequence". It matches the Rfam family "T-box leader". From Rfam's summary of the family: Uncharged tRNA acts as the effector for transcription antitermination of genes in the T-box leader family. T-boxes are found upstream of many aminoacyl-tRNA synthetase genes and some amino acid biosynthetic genes usually in Gram-positive bacteria. The record is from RNAcentral. Lineage: Bacteria; Bacillati; Actinomycetota.
AUAGAGGCUAUGACGGGGAGUAGUAGACUUUCUUACUAUAAGAGCGAGCCGGGGGUGGUGGGAAGCCCGGUAUAGGAUGUAAGUCGAACGUCGCCCUUGAGCCGGUCAUGUGAACAGCGCGCGUCGCCGAGUAGCUUGACCCGUCUGCCCACGUUACGGGUGCAGAGAGCGGUAAGGUUGAAAAUAACCUUACUGAAGUUGGGUGGUACCGCGAGAUAUUCCUCUCGUCCCAUAA